AUGCCACACGUUCGACCCGGCUCUUCCUCCAGCUUCAUCUCCUCACGCGCCAACCAGCUGUUAAGCAAAUUACACCAUCAUCUCGGCUCUGGGACACUACGGCCGGAGCUUGCGCAUCAAUUGUUCGACAAUUUGCUGGAACAACGCGUCCCAGUAUCUGCCUGCGCACUCAAUGGCUUAUUUGCCGCACUCGCGUGUGCCCCGCCAUCCGCCGCCUGCAUUGAUGGCCCUGCCCUCGCCAUCGCUCUCUUCAAACGCAUGGCACGAGCAGGAUGCCGCCAGGUGAUGGCACCCACCAAUCACACCUAUAGCAUACUAAUUGAGUGCUGCCAUAGCCUGCGCCGCUCAGACCUAGGGCCUACCUUCUUCGGCCUCCUUCUCAAGACAGGCAUCACCGCAAACGUCGUCACCUUCAACAGCUUAUUGAAGUGCCUCUGUGACAUGAAGCAAACAGAUGAGGCCCUAGGCGUGCUGCUCCACAGGAUGCCCGGUGACAUGCCUGAUGUCAUCUCCUACUCAGUAAUUAUCAAGAGCUUCUGUGACAACAGGAGGAGCCAACUUGCACUUGACCUGCUCCGGAUGGUGACCAAAAAGGGAUAUGACCACUCCCCCAAUGUGGUUUCAUACACAAUAAUCAUUGAUGGAUUAAUUAAGGAGGGUGAACUAAGCAAAGCAUGCGCUCUAUUCCAUGAAAUGAUGCAGCAGGGGGUCGUGCCUAAUGUGGUGACUUAUAACUCCAUUAUCGAUGGGUUGUGCAAAGGAAGAGCAUUGGAUGAGGCAGAGGUGGUCCUUCGACAAAUGGUUGAUAGCGGUGUUCGACCGGAUGUUGUGACAUACAAUAGCCUGAUCCAUGGAUAUUCCACUUCAGGCCAGUUUGAAGAGGUAGUUAGGUUAUUGGAAGAAAUGAGAGGUCAAGGUGUCAGACCAAAUGUUUUUACUUGCAACACAGUCAUGGCCUACCUUUGCAAGCAUGGAAGAACGAAAGAAGCUGCAGAACUUUUUUAUUCCAUGGCUGAGAAGGGCCAUAAACCUAAUAUGGUCUCAUACUCUAUUAUGCUUCAUGGGUACGCUAUAGAAGGAUCCCUUGCUGAAAUGACUGAUCUUUGUGAGCUGAUGGCAAGAGACGGUAUUGCACCCGAUCUCCAUUGUUUCAGCAUAUUGAUUAGUGCAUAUGCUAAGUGUGGAAUGAUGGAUGUGGCUAUACUUUUCUUCAAAGACAUGUUGAAGCAGGGAGUGAACCCUGAUGAGGUCACAUAUUUAGCUGUGAUAGCCGGGUAUUGCAGAGUGGGGAUGAUGGAUGAUGCUAUGGAAAAAUUCAAUGAGAUGAUUGAUAUGGGAGUACCACAUAACGCAACUGUUUACAGGUGCAUGAUUCAGGGU
Molecule: ribosomal RNA, 1380 nt
Filed under: Triticum aestivum (bread wheat)
Lineage: Eukaryota; Viridiplantae; Streptophyta; Magnoliopsida; Poales; Poaceae
Description: partial small subunit ribosomal RNA
Source: RNAcentral